Molecule: ribosomal RNA, 488 nt
Filed under: uncultured bacterium
Lineage: Bacteria
Description: SSU rRNA
Rfam family: Bacterial small subunit ribosomal RNA
Source: RNAcentral
AGGAUUAACGCUGGCGGCGUGCAUGAAACAUGCAAGUCGAGCGCGGUGUGAUGCGGGGUAACCCAAUUCACAUCUAGCGGCGAACGGGUGAGUAACACGUGAGCAACCUACCUUUGAGUUGGGGAUAGCCCUGGGAAACCAGGAUUAAUACCCGAUGUGGUCACAACAGGACAUCCUGAUGUGAGUAAAGGCGCAAGCCGCUCAAUGACGGGCUCGCGGCCUAUUAGCUUGUUGGUGGGGUAACGGCCUACCAAGGCGAUGAUGGGUAGCUGGUCUGAGAGGACGAUCAGCCACACUGGGACUGAGACACGGCCCAGACUCCUACGGGAGGCAGCAGUUAGGAAUUUUCCGCAAUGGGCGAAAGCCUGACGGAGCAACGCCGCGUGAGUGAUGAAGACCUUAGGGUUGUAAAGCUCUGUCGGAGGGAAGAACACAAUGACGGUACCUCCAAGAAAGCCCGGCUAACUACGUGCCAGCAGCCGCGGUAA